Molecule: non-coding RNA, 594 nt
Organism: Microcebus murinus (gray mouse lemur)
Lineage: Eukaryota; Metazoa; Chordata; Mammalia; Primates; Cheirogaleidae
Source: RefSeq, a predicted model, not a curated record
AGGGCAAGACACCUGUCGCCAGGAGGGACACCUGUCACAUGAGGGUCUUAUGACCUACUUUCAGUGUAGGAUACAGACAGGACCAGCCAACUGAAGAGACGCACAGGAAAGCGUCAUCUCGCCCUCUUGGGUUGCCCUUUCCGCUACCUCACUCCUCAUGCGCCAGCAAAGCGGCUUUUCAUCCUCGAAAACGUCCCGCCUGGCGACCGGUGGACAAGCUAUCACUUGAGAUCUCAUGACUGACAAUCCUGCCCAGCCACCUCAUGUUUUGGAGAGCUUGCCGAUGACAUUGAAGAGAUGACACGGAAGUGAGGUUUGCAAAAUAUCUAACAAUAGCGAGUGGUUAAGUAUAUUGUGAUUCCACCUAUUGGAUGAAAUAGUGUGAUCUAAUACAUGUUUAGGAGGUUUGUAAUAAAACAGAAAUGCUUCUGUAUAAUAAUAUUAUGAGGGAAAGUCAGCACAAUUGUGAUGAAAAAUGUACCCAUAAUCUGAGACACUGGAAAAACACAAAGAAAAGCCUAGAAAGAAAUAGUCUGAAAUGUGGGUGAUUAUCCCCCAUCUUCUUUACAGUUCUCUGUAUUGAAAACUUUUUCU